GAUGAACGCUAGCGGCAGGCUUAACACAUGCAAGUCGAGGGGCAGCACGGUGUAGCAAUACAUUGGUGGCGACCGGCGCACGGGUGCGUAACGCGUAUACAAUUUGCCUUAUACUGGGAGAUAGCCCGGAGAAAUUCGGAUUAAUAUCCCAUAAUAAUUUUGGUCCGCAUGGAUUGAUUUUUUAAGCUACGGCGGUAUAAGAUGAGUAUGCGUCUGAUUAGCUAGUUGGUAAGGUAACGGCUUACCAAGGCAACGAUCAGUAGGGGGCCUGAGAGGGUUAUCCCCCACACUGGAACUGAGACACGGUCCAGACUCCUACGGGAGGCAGCAGUGAGGAAUAUUGGUCAAUGGAGGCAACUCUGAACCAGCCAUGCCGCGUGUAGGAAGAAGGCCCUAUGGGUUGUAAACUACUUUUAUUGGGGAAGAAACCCUCUUACGUGUAAGAGGCUGACGGUACCCAAGGAAUAAGGACCGGCUAACUCCGUGCCAGCAGCCGCGGUAAA
This 503-nucleotide ribosomal RNA is filed under the name uncultured bacterium. RNAcentral's name for it is "partial 16S ribosomal RNA". It matches the Rfam family "Bacterial small subunit ribosomal RNA", at positions 28 to 524 of the family's 1533-position model. The record is from RNAcentral.